UACGUAGGCAGCAAGCGUUGUUCGGAGUUACUGGGCGUAAAGGGUGCGUAGGUGGCUCUAUAAGUAUGGUGUGAAAUCUCCCGGCUUAACUGGGAGGGUGCGCCGUAGACUGUGGGGCUAGAGUGUGGGAGAGGAAAGUGGAAUUCCUGGUGUAGCGGUGAAAUGCGCAGAUAUCAGGAAGAACACCUAUGGCGAAGGCAGCUCUCUGGGACGGUACUGACGCUGAGACGCGAAAGCGUGGGGAGCGAACAGG
RNAcentral lists this ribosomal RNA (253 nucleotides) under uncultured bacterium. Its description in RNAcentral is "partial 16S ribosomal RNA". It matches the Rfam family "Bacterial small subunit ribosomal RNA", at positions 524 to 776 of the family's 1533-position model. The record is from RNAcentral.